Antechinus flavipes (yellow-footed antechinus) is the source of this 451-nucleotide long non-coding RNA. RefSeq lists it as uncharacterized. The record is from RefSeq and is a predicted model, not a curated record. Lineage: Eukaryota; Metazoa; Chordata; Mammalia; Dasyuromorphia; Dasyuridae. The transcript is spliced from 3 exons.
GUCUGAAUAAAGGUUUCAAUGUUGUGUAAGGAAAAAAGACUGCACAGGACAGAUUCUUGGGAGGAAAAAGUAGCUCAGAUCAUGUCUGGAGACUUUGAUUUGGAAACUGAGAGAUGGGAUACACGUGAUAGAGGAAGAGCAGAUCAGAUAGGAUCAAAAAUAUCUCUGAGGAGGGGAAAUGUGUCCAAGAGAAAGAAGAGAAAACUCAGCUGGAAAAUUUUAGGGCUUCAAGAUACCAAGAUCCAUGCUCCACUGACAGACCAGGUCUCAAGGCUAUGAAGAGAUUAGCUAGCCCACGCUCCCUGCCCCGCAGACUCAUACAUAGGAUGUUUUGCUGUGAAUAUGGAUUUUCAGGCAAAGAACAGGAGAAUAAUAUGCCCAUUCUGUGAUCUUCCAAUUUCUGUGAUUUUGCUCAUGCCAUUUUCCAUAUCCACCAAAUAAACUUCUUUCA